GACGAACGCUGGCGGCGUGCCUAAUACAUGCAAGUCGAACGCAGUGGGGACGGGUGAGUAACACGUGGGUAACCUCCCAUCAGAGGGGAUAACACUUGGAAACAGGUGCUAAACCGAUAUGGGUGGAUGGACUCGGUGUGCAUUAGCUAGUGGGUGAGGUAACGGCCCACCAAGGCAACGAUGCCGAGCGGGCCUGGGAGGGUGAUCGGCCACACGGGAACUGAGACACGGCCCAGACUCCUACGGGAGGCAGCAGUAGGGAAUCUUGCGCAAUGGGCGAAAGUCUGACCGAGCCACGCCGCGUGAGUGAAGAAGGUUUUCGGAUCGUAAAACACUGUUGUUAGAGAAGCGGUACCUAAAGAGAAAGCCACGGCUAACUACGUGCCAGCCGCCGCGGUAAUAC
This 403-nucleotide ribosomal RNA is filed under the name uncultured bacterium. RNAcentral describes it as "partial 16S ribosomal RNA". It matches the Rfam family "Bacterial small subunit ribosomal RNA", at positions 28 to 526 of the family's 1533-position model. The record is from RNAcentral.